This 62-nucleotide transfer RNA is filed under the name Pycnogonum diceros. RNAcentral describes it as "tRNA-Arg". The record is from RNAcentral. Lineage: Eukaryota; Metazoa; Arthropoda; Pycnogonida; Pantopoda; Pycnogonidae.
AGGAAAAAACAAAAAUUGUAUUUGAUUUCGACUCAAAAUUAUGGUUAUAUUAACCUUUUCUU